CAGCUCCGGAUGCCAGGAUGCCAGAGGCCAUGUGGUGGCCUAACCCUUCCUACUUUUCCAGGUGAGAAAACUGAGGCUUAGAGGAACUGAACAAUUUGAGCUGAGAGUAAAGAACCAGAACUCAGGUCUCCCGAGUACACAUCCGUCUGUCCAGAAGCGAAGCAGAGACUCUGUCCUCCACUGUAGAGGCCCCGAGGAUAUUGAAGCCCAGAUAAAGCAAGAAUUGGAACCCGAGGAUGGCCCUUACAUUUGAGGCGUCUUGGGGGGUGGGGGGCUUGUGGAAGUCAAAGGAAAGCGGGAAGACAGGAAUGGAGGGGAGAGGGUCUCCCCAAGCCCCAGACUUGCCACUCUGUAACCCCAGUUUUCCAAGGUAAUCAAGACUCUGGGGUCAAGAGACAGGUGAGGAGGAGCAGGCAAGGGAUAUGGGAMCUUAGGGGCUGCCUUCCUGGAAAUGGCGUCCAAAAGUAGCAGGUAUUUGAUGACAUAUCUGCAUUUUGCUUAUGGAAUGGACAUGACUCUUCUUUUUUUUUCUAAAUGUCUUUAUUUGUGUUUAUUUAUUUAUUUUUUAUAUGGUGCUGAGGACUAACCUAGGGCCUCACCCAUGAGGGGCAAGCACUCUACCACUGAGCUACGACUCCAGCCCCUGGACAUGACUCUUCUUUCAUAGCUGUUGAAGAGGUUGGCAAGUCAGCUGCGUCCUUCCCUCAAGACGUGAAGGAAGGCAAAUCUGCAGCAUGCAGGAUGGAAGUCAGACAGAAAGAGGCCUCCUGMAGUGAAGUAUUGGGGCUGUCAUCUUGCCACUGUGACCAGGCUUCUGGGCCCUGUGAGGACAUAGUGGAGCCUUCUGCUUCCAAGAGGAGGCCAUCUUUAGGGGAUGGGUUAGGUGGGAAUCUGGGAAGGCCAGGGGAGGCCUUGAUUAAUGUCCAAGAGAGAUGCCUUCUCGUCCCCCCUUCCUCCCUGUCCUCUGCCCUCCUACUCCCUCAGACAGUCGUGAACUCUUGRUGGGCUCAGAGCCACAGAGUAGCUGUCUUAGCCCGUUGCUGCCUCAGUUUCCCCACUGGCCCACCAGGAUGGCAUCAGAUUUUCUGUCUGUCUCUUCCUUUACGACUGUCCCUGUUUUCUUCCUGGUCCUUGAUGUUUUAGUCCAUCAAACGAGAUUCUAGAAUAUCUCUUCCUUUGUCUCUCCUUAGGUCUGUCAUUUUUCCUAUGUCUCUCCUUAGGUCUGUCAGAUGAUUUUUAUUGUCUUUUUUAAAUGGUGAAAGCCAUAUUACCUAGAAUUUAGAAAAGAGGAGGAAAAGCCAGGUGUGGUUGUGCACACCUGCAAUCCCAUCAACUCUGGGGACUGGGGCAGGAG
Molecule: long non-coding RNA, 1354 nt
Filed under: Urocitellus parryii (Arctic ground squirrel)
Lineage: Eukaryota; Metazoa; Chordata; Mammalia; Rodentia; Sciuridae
Description: lncRNA (ENSUPAG00010011135.1)
Source: RNAcentral